UCUCAGUCCUGGAGAACUGCAAGGCUGUGACAGAAGUGCUGCAAACCACAGCUUUUUAUUGAAUUGCAUACUCGUGCAAUUGCAAAGCAGACAAAACUGGGAAGAGUCCUGUUACUGAUGCAUCAGAAACACUUUCCAUCUGCCGGGUGUCUCCAGGAGGAUCCCUGUUAGCUGGAGCUCCUCAGAUACAGCCACCGUUCAAGGAGGAAACCAUUUGCUCCCUUCCCCCACCAACGCUCCGGUUGCUUUCAGUGGUGUAGUUCUCACUGUUCAGUUUUGGAACCAGAGGGGGAUGCUUGGACUUAGUGCUUGCUGGGUAGCCUCCUUUCCAAGGCAGUAAGCAUGUAUAACAGUAAGUUCACUCCUGAAAACACCCAGCGCCUUCAGUUCCUGUAACAGAGUCUGCCGAGAGGAGCCGUUGGAAUCCAUCAUUUCCCUUUCAUGGCUGUUUCUUGAAAAAAAAAGAAAAGCAAAGCGCUGGCAAACUGCCAAGCCAUGGAGGCACAGCGAUAUCCCGGGGCUGAGCCAGCGCCGCCGCUCAGUAACAGCAGCAGCCUCUGGCUGAAGAAUGUCCAGGAGCUGCCAGGGAGCCUCUCCUCUGCCUGCAUCCCCCAGACUCAGACUAUGGCCUCUGCGUUCCUCUCGCUGCGCAGGAGAUUGCAGGUUUUCCUCAACAAAAAGCAGGGCUGCCCCUGCCCUGGGGGAUCGAGCGCUGGAUUUCGCUGCUUCUCUUGGCCUCGUUCCUUCAGGGAGAAGGGAUCCUGCCACAGCCACGCCGGCUCAAGCACAGGAAGCCUGCGUAGUGCUCAGCGGCCCCGCGCCUCAGAAAUCCUCCCUCCUCUCUGUGGAAAGGAGCAGGCACGUUCCUAUGAAGACUAUGGCUGAAAGAUUGUCUUAGGUCUGGAACCCAAAUGCUUUUUGUAACACUUAGCUAUUGCGUUCUCUGGUGUGUAAGUACUGAAGUAGUUUUUGUUACUCUAGCGCAGUCUCCUCCUCUGACGUCUCCCUGAGCCAGAGGGAGAACACACAAGACAUUUCACUUGCACAAGUUGUUUAUGGCUAAUACUGAUUUUUGAGGUGCUUGACUUCCUGUUUAACAGCUCCGUACCACCCAUGGUGAUGAUGAUGUGGCUGCUUGUACAGCAGUGCACAGUAGAGGCUGGGAACCAGGCGCCCUGCAGGAACAGCGCUUACAGUGACUGCCAAGUUAACGUGGGCCAGCAGAGUUCUCGCUGCGAACACGGCAUGCCGCAGGCUGGGCUGCAUCGGGGGGCACGCAGCCAGAAAAUCCACGGGAGCACUCACCCCCAGUACGCCACACUGCGUGCAAUGUUGCUGUCCAGCUUUGGCCUCUUGGCUGACGGAGAUGCUGAAAAGCUGCGGAGGGUGCUGUGAAGUGGUGGUAGAGCCAGAGUGCAUGUCCUCUGGGAAAAAGGUGGGAGGAGUUGGAUUAGGUCUGAGGAGGAGCAGGCUACGGGGUGCAAUAUAAGAAAUUACUGCUUAAAUUGAUCUGCAAGGCAAUUGCAAGGAUGGAUCAACCCCUCUUGGUAGUGGCAGAUGACGUAGAGGGGGCAAUGACCACAGACUUGGGAGCUUCGGAGCAGGCAGCUGGACAAAGCCAUCAAACAUCCCUCCAAGAAGACACUCGUUUCCUCUCCCCCCUCUACCACCUUCUUACCAUAAAGGCAAAAGUCCUUUUAUAACACAAGGGCUUAUCUUAUCAGCUUGCUCAACAGCCCCACAGAGCUGAAAGUUCAGCAGGGCCCAAACAUAGCUCCAGCCUGUGUCACAAAAAAAAAAAAAAGAAAAAAAGAAUCAAGUCCUUUGUGUGUCUCUCACCUUGUAAACAAUUACUGGUACUUGAAGCAUCCAGGUACAACUGGGGAAUUCUUUCAGGGAGUGCUCAGUACUGCUGGACCUUUUUAUUUUAAAACUGCUUCAGGCACCUGCACCACUGCAGAGCCAGUGCUCUCCCUGAGCACCCAUCUCCCCCUCUAAUGCAAGUCAGUUUGUUGGGAGAAAACCUGAGCAGAGUGCUAGAAGAGUUAAUGUAGGUGAAUGCGGCAGAAGCUAAGGUUUCAUUCAGACCAGAAAAUGCAUACAGGUGUUUUUGUGCCACGUCAGUUAUCACAGGUGUCCCAGUAAGCAGCAGCAAUAAUCUGCUGCUGAUUAGGCAGCAGAUCCAGCUUCAUUAUUUUGUGUAAAUUGCAUCUUCCCUUGACAUCACAUCAUGAAACUUCUCUAAGUGUGAAAAAGUUUGGCCGAGCUCUCUUACCCCUGGUUUCAGUUUCAGUAACUUUCAGGACCAAAAUGAUUCUGCAAAGGUUGUUUACUAAAACAUGAAACGGAACAAAAACAAAAGCUUGCUCUAAGGUUAUGCUGGUGCAGAAGGGCCAAUGGCAAUGAGCCAAGCAUUAGAAAUUGUACUACAAGUUUUCUACCUUUGCCUUUGCUCUUUCUCCUUUGAAGGUGACAAUAUGUUAAAUGUUUAGCAUCUUUUUUUUUUUUUUUUUUUUUUUUUUUUAAGCCACCGCUGAGUUUAUGUAGCUAUUUACUCCUUGCUGAAUUUUCCUGCCCCUCCCAGCACUGGCAGAGAGACGAACUGAGGCGAGUCCUGUACAGACGAACUGCUGGCCAAGUCCUGACUUCAGCUGACUGAUUCCCUGCAACUGCCAGCUCCAAAAACGGGAGGAGGCACCUCAGUGUGCACGCACUCCUGCUAGCAAGUGGCUUUUUGUGAUGACCUACAGCUGUCCCCAUCCCCUGCAGUGUUUCAGGCUGUAGUACAGGACUGAGGCGUAUGCACACUUCACUUGUGAGUCUCAAAUUUGGCUGCUGAACAUCUGCAGAGGUAUUUGCACACCUUGCGUAGUGGAACAAGCCGUGCCUAGUUCCAGCUCAACUGAAGGUGCGGAACUAAACCAGACCUGAGUGUUUGCAUCCUACAUCAACUGCAAGAGGCAACUCUCACCUGUCAGAGCACCCAGAUCCAGGGACUGCUAAAUGGAACCCAAGCCCUAAAAACGUUCAGCUUAACAGAACUCAGGUAAAGUCUUACCAGGAAACCACUGCAUCCAUGUUAGUUUCUUAGACAAUGUUUAGAGCUCUAGGCAUGUGCACAAAACUAGAAGCCAGACCUUUUACUGUGGAAUUAGCGUACCACAACCACCAGGUCUGCCACAAUUCACAGCUGCCAAGUCUUUCACACAGCGCUGUCCACAGCACUGCCCAGUGACUGUUAAGCCCUCCCCAAAGCAUUACCUGGUUGUAGUUUCCCCUGUUGGGCAUUCCUCCUCUGUUAUAGUUCCCUCUGUUUGAGUAGCCACCUCUGCUUGGAAAGACAGGGCCACGAGGAUACGGGUAGCCAAUUGCACCGCUGCUGCCACCGCCGCCGCCACCACC
Molecule: long non-coding RNA, 3402 nt
Organism: Anas platyrhynchos (mallard)
Lineage: Eukaryota; Metazoa; Chordata; Aves; Anseriformes; Anatidae
Source: RefSeq, a predicted model, not a curated record